UGUAUCUAUAUAGAAUGAAGGUAACUUAGAUAUAACUAUAUUUUUGCCAGACUCAAUUCAUGCUUGACCGUCUUGCUGAUCUUCAGAAUCGGGAGAGAGCGCUUGUUGAUGUUAAUACAGCUCUAAGAACUAAGUUAGAAGAAAUUCAGAAUUCAGAAGUU
Molecule: non-coding RNA, 161 nt
Organism: Arachis ipaensis
Lineage: Eukaryota; Viridiplantae; Streptophyta; Magnoliopsida; Fabales; Fabaceae
Source: RefSeq, a predicted model, not a curated record